CNGGCGAUACGGGCACGACUAGAGUGCUGUAGGGGUAACUGGAAUUCCUGGUGUAGCGGUGAAAUGCGCAGAUAUCAGGAGGAACACCGAUGGCGAAGGCAGGUUACUGGGCAGUUACUGACGCUGAGGAGCGAAAGCAUGGGGAGCGAACAGGAUUAGAUACCCUGGUAGUCCAUGCUGUAAACGGUGGGCGCUAGGUGUGGGCUGUGUGUUUGCAGUCUGUGCCGUAGCUAACGCAUUAAGCGCCCCGCCUGGGGAGUACGGCCGCAAGGCUAAAACUCAAAGGAAUUGACGGGGGCCCGCACAAGCGGCGGAGCAUGUGGAUUAAUUCGAUGCAACGCGAAGAACCUUACCUGGGUUUGACAUGCACCAGAUCGGCGUAGAGAUACGUCCUCCCUUGUGGUUGGUGCACAGGUGGUGCAUGGUUGUCGUCGGCUCGUGUCGUGAGAUGUUGGGUUAAGUCCCGCAACGAGCGCAACCCUUGUCUUAUGUUGCCAGCACAUUUUUGGUGGGGACUCAUGAGAAACUGCCGGGGUCAACUCGGAGGAAGGUGGGGAUGACGUCAGAUCAUCAUGCCCUUUAUACCCAGGGCUUCACACAUGCUACAAUGGUCGGUACAACGGGUUGCGACACUGUGAAGUGAAGCUAAUCUCUUAAAGCCGGCCUCAGUUCGGAUUGGGGUCUGCAACUCGACCCCAUGAAGUCGGAGUCGCUAGUAAUCGCAGAUCAGCAACGCUGCGGUGAAUACGUUCCCGGGCCUUGUACACACCGCCCGUCACGUCAUGAAAGUUGGUAACACCCGAAGCCCAUGGCCUAACCACCGCUUUUGUGGUGGG
This 836-nucleotide ribosomal RNA is filed under the name uncultured bacterium. Its description in RNAcentral is "bacterial SSU rRNA". It matches the Rfam family "Bacterial small subunit ribosomal RNA", at positions 624 to 1450 of the family's 1533-position model. The record is from RNAcentral.